UCAUGUUUCGAGCUCUCAAAAAAUGGCGUGGAAACAGAUAGAAACUCUUGAAUGGAAAUUGAAAAGAAAUGUAACCCCAGUUCCUUCGGAAAUGGUAAGAUCUUUAGCGCAAGAAGAAGGGGCGACCCAUAUAAUUUUGACUUGGUUCUGCUUCCCAUCUUUUUUUAAGAAUACGGCUAAAUCGGAGAUGGGCGGUGAGACAAACCGGACACUAGGCAGAUCACAUGCAUGGGGAACAGGGAUUUGACCGAAGAAACUGCUCAGUGGCAGUCUAUACGCCCAAUUGAGGAGCCUCUCCCCGCAGUGUUUUACGUGUCGCACGGAAAGAGGAGCAAAAAAAAAAUCAAAAAACCUUGGAGGUUGUGCCCUUGAGGCGUGGCUUCCGGAGCUAACGCGUUAAGUCGACCGCCUGGGGAGUACGGCCGCAAGGUUAAAACUCAAAUGAAUUGACGGGGGCCCGCACAAGCGGUGGAGCAUGUGGUUUAAUUCGAUGCAACGCGAAGAACCUUACCUACUCUUGACAUCCAGAGAACUUUCCAGAGAUGGAUUGGUGCCUUCGGGAACUCUGAGACAGGUGCUGCAUGGCUGUCGUCAGCUCGUGUUGUGAAAUGUUGGGUUAAGUCCCGCAACGAGCGCAACCCUUAUCCUUUGUUGCCAGCGGUUAGGCCGGGAACUCAAAGGAGACUGCCAGUGAUAAACUGGAGGAAGGUGGGGAUGACGUCAAGUCAUCAUGGCCCUUACGAGUAGGGCUACACACGUGCUACAAUGGCGCAUACAAAGAGAAGCGACCUCGCGAGAGCAAGCGGACCUCAUAAAGUGCGUCGUAGUCCGGAUUGGAGUCUGCAACGGUAACCGACUCAAAGCAAUUUGAUUGUAAUUCAAUUCAUGACGAUCAUAAGUAGAAAGUUCAUAUUCUUCAGUCAUUGAUAAACAGUUUGUUGGACAGUACUCAACACAAUUACCACAAAAU
This 970-nucleotide ribosomal RNA is filed under the name Oryza sativa Indica Group (long-grained rice). Its description in RNAcentral is "bacterial SSU rRNA". The stretch from base 124 to 970 matches the Rfam family "Bacterial small subunit ribosomal RNA", at positions 1 to 1367 of the family's 1533-position model. The record is from RNAcentral. Lineage: Eukaryota; Viridiplantae; Streptophyta; Magnoliopsida; Poales; Poaceae.